Pan paniscus (pygmy chimpanzee) is the source of this 70-nucleotide ribosomal RNA. The record is from Ensembl. Lineage: Eukaryota; Metazoa; Chordata; Mammalia; Primates; Hominidae.
AUCUAUAGCCAUACUACCCUCAACCCACCUGAUCUCAGAAGCUAAGCAGGGUCGGGCCUAGUUAGAGCUU